Non-coding RNA from Prunus avium (sweet cherry), 1014 nucleotides. The record is from RefSeq and is a predicted model, not a curated record. Lineage: Eukaryota; Viridiplantae; Streptophyta; Magnoliopsida; Rosales; Rosaceae.
AAAGAUAUCGGCAGCCUGUCCUGAUUUCUCGUAUUGAUUCCUAUUCAACUUCAAACUCUUGUCUUGGCCCUAAUCCACUAACGUACUUAUGAGUAGUUCACCUCCAAAGAAAGAAAGGGAUGGAAAAUUUGAAAAUCUCUUCUUAAGUUACUAUUUGAUUUGUGAAUGAGGAUUGGAAAAAACAAAUAAACAAAAACAGUUUGGGAAAUUACACGGAACCUUGCUAUUAAGUCCAGUUCCCACACUCUUUCUCAAAUAGUUCAUAGCAUUUUUCACCUGGACAAUUUCUCAAGAUCGCAGCAAUACCAAUUAGCUCAAAAGGUCCUUAUGCUGAAGACAUUCAAACUCUAUCACGAAUGUCUAAUUUUAAGUUGAUUGUGCCUAUGGCUUAAUUAUUGCAAUUUAAUUGCCUUUAUGACAAUAUCGAUUUCUUCUCUGUUUUUUGUUUUAAAUUUUGCAGCUGAGAGACUAUCGGCAAAUGGGGUUAGUCAUGGCGGUUAAAGCAGACAAGAUCCCUGCAUUUCGACAGCAGUUAAAAUCUUUCGUAGAGGGAUCAUGAUGCUAAUCGAAAGGUGUUGCAGGUGCCAAAUUUUGAUUUAUAUUUGAAGGCAUUAGGACAUUCACGUGGUGAAGGUUUUGGAAGCGCUCGUUGGUCCCAAAUGGUCCCUCAAAAGAUUCAUCGAAAAAGCAGAGCAAGGAAAGGUACAGAAAUAUUGUAUUGAGGAACGUGUCAUGGACCAUCAUAAGCUAUUAUCUCCCAGAUUCUAUGUGAACCAGAAGGGAAAAUAGAGAGAGAGUUUGAAACCAUCCAAAAGAAGUGGAACUUUACGUAUGAGGCCAAAGAAGAGCACCAUUAUCUUAUAAUAUUUGUGAUUUUAAAUUUUGUGUGGCGAUAAGAACAAUACACAUGGAAUAUUUGCUUCAACUUGUUUGCACACAGAUAGCGCAUAAUUACACACACAAUAUAGUCGAUGCCUUCUGUCCAAACCAAACCCCCCACUGCCACUUCCUUUU